UGCAUGGCAGUCUGAAGCCAUGGGAAAUCAAAGUCAGGUGAAUUUUGCUGCCCAGUUAAUAUGUUUUUAUUAGAUACAGAGUCAGUAGGCUGCAUUGUGUAACCUUGGAAGAACAAGCACUUUUGAGGCCAUCACAAGUGGCCCUACUCAACACAACACAGGUUGCCUCAAAGCACUGGGAGCUUAGGUUGCCUCAGAGAAACAUAAACAUAAAACAAUAUGGUGUGAUGAAUCAUCAAGCAGGGGGAAGUGCGAUUCAGAUUAAAUACGCUAAGAUUUAGGGCUCCUCACUGGUUUGUGACAAUGCACAUCUUCCUGAAGGUAGGUUUGUUUUUUUUUUUUUUUUUUGAGAACUGAAUAAAGAAAUGAUACAGUAAUAAAAGGGACUUAGGAAAGGCGGGGAGCCCUGAGUGGUGGGCAGGAGGGGCAAGAGGCUGAUUCAGAAGCCUCAGAGGCUUGAGUGAGGCUGGAUUCCACCCUCAGGGGAAGGCAUGGAGGCUCUCUCCUUUGACAUCAGGAAGAUGAAAGGAAGCAGACUUGUCAGUAGCCGGGAGGCCAAAACCAUGGAGACUGAUCGCAAACCUACCACACACGAUGGACUCUGCGUGUGAUAUGCUCUAACCUCCAAACGACGGGGGGAGGAGGGUGUAGUAUUUACUUUUUACAGAAGUGGUGUUGGGCCCAGGGUUGUUUGCAACCAAAGCACAUGCUCUUUGCUUAAGACACGCCUCCUCCUUGUAGGGGUGGACCAGCUGGAACCUGUGGAAAACAGGCAGGACUCCCUGGUGACUGUGAGUGGGAGGAGGGAAUGAAGACGCUAUGUAAUUGGCAUAUAGACAUCGAGUAAACUUCCUUCCUUCUGUCCACAUCCUAGAAGGCAGACUUUAACCUUUCUAGAGUCUUCAUAAAGUCAUGGCUGUCCACAAUCUCUGGGCUGCCUGCCAUGGUUCAGACACAACCAGUGUGGACCAGACCCAGGGGUGCCCUGCAGAGGAAGAAGGAAGGAUUUACUCCACACCCACUUCAAAAUGGAGGUGUUUGCUUUAAACGACCUUAACUUUAAAAAGCAAUUUGUCACUUGGAGAUGAGAGUGGAUGUUUAAAGAAGAGGUCACAAUUAUGUGGGCCAAGAAGGUGGAAGGGAUAAUCAAAUCACAUUGUGGAAAAUAGAACAGA
This is a long non-coding RNA of Bos taurus (domestic cattle), 1175 nucleotides long. Lineage: Eukaryota; Metazoa; Chordata; Mammalia; Artiodactyla; Bovidae. The record is from Ensembl.